AUACGGGGGGUGCAAGUGUUAAUCGGAAUUACUGGGCGUAAAGCGCGCGUAGGCGGUUUGCUCAGUCGGAUGUGAAAGCCCAGGGCUCAACCUUGGAACUGCAUACGAUACUGGCAAACUAGAGUGUGAGAGAGGAUAGUGGAAUUUCCGGUGUAGCGGUGAAAUGCGUAGAUAUCGGAAGGAACAUCAGUGGCGAAGGCGACUGUCUGGCUCAACACUGACGCUGAGGUGCGAAAGCGUGGGUAGCAAACAGGAUUAGAUACCCUAGUAGUCC
Molecule: ribosomal RNA, 274 nt
Filed under: uncultured bacterium
Lineage: Bacteria
Description: partial 16S ribosomal RNA
Rfam family: Bacterial small subunit ribosomal RNA
Source: RNAcentral